GACGAACGCUGGCGGCGUGCUUAACACAUGCAAGUCGAACGGAAAGGCCCUGCUUUUGUGGGGUGCUCGAGUGGCGAACGGGUGAGUAACACGUGAGUAACCUGCCCUUGACUUUGGGAUAACUUCAGGAAACUGGGGCUAAUACCGGAUAGGAGCUCCUGCUGCAUGGUGGGGGUUGGAAAGUUUCGGCGGUUGGGGAUGGACUCGCGGCUUAUCAGCUUGUUGGUGGGGUAGUGGCUUACCAAGGCUUUGACGGGUAGCCGGCCUGAGAGGGUGACCGGCCACAUUGGGAAGGAGAUACGGCCCAGACUCCUACGGGAGGCAGCAGUGGGGAAUAUUGCACAAGGGGCGGAAGCCUGAUGCAGCAACGCCGCGUGCGGGAUGACGGCCUUCGGGUUGUAAACCGCUUUCGCCUGUGACGAAGCGUGAGUGACGGUAAUGGGUAAAGAAGCACCGGCUAACUACGUG
Molecule: ribosomal RNA, 468 nt
Filed under: uncultured bacterium
Lineage: Bacteria
Description: partial 16S ribosomal RNA
Rfam family: Bacterial small subunit ribosomal RNA
Source: RNAcentral